Transfer RNA from Sorghum bicolor (sorghum), 74 nucleotides. It matches the Rfam family "tRNA". From Rfam's summary of the family: Transfer RNA (tRNA) molecules are approximately 80 nucleotides in length. The record is from Rfam. NCBI's taxonomy places the organism in Eukaryota, Viridiplantae, Streptophyta, Magnoliopsida, Poales, Poaceae.
GCGCUCUUAGUUCAGUUUAGUAGAACACGGGUCUCUAAAACCCAAUGUCGUAGGUUCAAAUCCUACAUAACGUG